Non-coding RNA from Parasteatoda tepidariorum (common house spider), 1033 nucleotides. NCBI's taxonomy places the organism in Eukaryota, Metazoa, Arthropoda, Arachnida, Araneae, Theridiidae. The record is from RefSeq and is a predicted model, not a curated record.
ACAAUUUUGUUCCUCGUUUCUUUUCAAGUGUGUCUGAUAGAUUUUUUUAAUACUGUUUUUAAUUAUUUUCUUUGUUUUUAUCAGAUGUAAAUUAGUGUUUCAUUUUAAGUACUUUUUAGCUAUUUUUUUUCUAUGUGUUUGUAAGUAUAUUGAUUUUUUUCCGGCCAUGUUCCUUGUGCUGUGUUUCCAUUGCUUUUAAUAUCGAUAACUUUAACUUUUUUAAUUAAAAUUUUUUUUAUGUUUUCUUGACACAUUUAAUUCUUUUGGUAAUAAUCCUGUCUCUCUAACAGAAUGUAAUUUAGCUUUGUAGGAUAUUUUCUGCUUAAUAGGGUGACACAUGAGGAACAACCGGACAAAGUGGGAUCUGUUUUGCUGAUUGCAACUUCAUCUAAUAUAUUUCAGCUAAGUUGUGCGACAAAUACGGAGCAACCAGAUAAAGUGGAAUCUAUUUUGCUGAUUGCAACUUCAUCUAAGACAAGGGAGCUCCUGUAUCUAGAACUGGGGGAAAUUUGACAGCGUGGAGGAUGUUUUGAUGGAACUAACCCGCAUUUGCAUUACAUGGAGAGGAAGACCACGAGAACCUUCCAUGGUUAGCCUUUCAGCAAGGGGAUCCGUCUACCACUAAGGUAGGUUGACAUUCACCGGUGAAAGAUGACAUUUUCCUCAUUUCGGUGACUAACAGUAAUAUAUGCAUUUCAAACUUUUUUGCUGAUUCUGAAGAUCAUUGGUUUUAUUGAGCUAUAAAUUUUUAAAAAAAAUUUCUUUCCCGCAUCCGUUUCUAAAUGUUAAAAUGCAUCACUCAGUGGAAAAUUUAUAACAUACAUUUUUGUUUCAUUUGUUGCCUAACAAUAUAGGCAAACAUUUUGUUUUUCUGUAAAGUUGGCAUAUUGAUUGCGUAAAAAUGCGUUAAGAAAUUCUUUGGUUUACAAUAGUUUAGGUUGUUCAAACAGUUUUAAAUGUCACUUAAAGUUGAGAAAAAAUAAAAAGUAAUCUUGAAAUCAAAAUAAACUAUGUAGUUAUUGGUACUAGUUAA